GAUGAACGCUGGCGGCGUGCCUAAUACAUGCAAGUCGAGCGAACAGACGAGGAGCUUGCUCCUCUGACGUUAGCGGCGGACGGGUGAGUAACACGUGGAUAACCUACCUAUCAGACUGGGAUAACUUCGGGAAACCGGAGCUAAUACCGGAUAAUAUCUUGAACCGCAUGGGUCAAUAGUGAAAGACGGUUUUGCUGUCACUUAUAGAUGGUUCCGCGCCGCAUUAGCUAGUUGGUAAGUUAACGGCUUACCAAGGCAACGAUGCGUAGCCGACCUGAGAGGGUGAUCGGCCACACUGGAAGUGAGACACGGUCCAGACUCCUACGGGAGGCAGCAGUAGGGAAUCUUCCGCAAUGGGCGAAAGCCUGACGGAGCAACGCCGCGUGAGUGAUGAAGGUCUUCGGAUCGUAAAACUCUGUUAUUAGGGAAGAACAAAUGUGUAAGUAACUAUGCACGUCUUGACGGUACCUAAUCAGAAAGCCACGGCUAACUACGUG
This 497-nucleotide ribosomal RNA is filed under the name uncultured bacterium. RNAcentral describes it as "partial 16S ribosomal RNA". It matches the Rfam family "Bacterial small subunit ribosomal RNA", at positions 28 to 507 of the family's 1533-position model. The record is from RNAcentral.